ACACUCCUACGGGAGGCAGCAGUGGGGAAUAUUGCACAAUGGGCGCAAGCCUGAUGCAGCCAUGCCGCGUGUAUGAAGAAGGCCUUCGGGUUGUAAAGUACUUUCAGCGGGGAGGAAGGCGAUAAGGUUAAUAACCUUGUUGAUUGACGUUACCCGCAGAAGAAGCACCGGCUAACUCCGUGCCAGCAGCCGCGGUAAUACGGAGGGUGCAAGCGUUAAUCGGAAUUACUGGGCGUAAAGCGCACGCAGGCGGUCUGUCAAGUCGGAUGUGAAAUCCCCGGGCUCAACCUGGGAACUGCAUUCGAAACUGGCAGGCUGGAGUCUUGUAGAGGGGGGUAGAAUUCCAGGUGUAGCGGUGAAAUGCGUAGAGAUCUGGAGGAAUACCGGUGGCGAAGGCGGCCCCCUGGACAAAGACUGACGCUCAGGUGCGAAAGCGUGGGGAGCAAACAGGAUUAGAUACCCGUGUAGUCCCAUGA
RNAcentral lists this ribosomal RNA (476 nucleotides) under uncultured organism. RNAcentral's name for it is "partial 16S ribosomal RNA". It matches the Rfam family "Bacterial small subunit ribosomal RNA", at positions 333 to 800 of the family's 1533-position model. The record is from RNAcentral.